This 1818-nucleotide long non-coding RNA is filed under the name Nicotiana benthamiana. RNAcentral's name for it is "long non-coding RNA (NBEN_LNC020326)". Lineage: Eukaryota; Viridiplantae; Streptophyta; Magnoliopsida; Solanales; Solanaceae. The record is from RNAcentral.
CAAGAGCUGCAUGUCAAACUAUACAUCUAUUUUUGAAGCGGAGGAAAACAAAAACUUAUUAAUACACAUUUCUUUAUGAUAUAAACAACUAUAGAACAUAUUACACUGAUAAACAAGGGAAACCAGACAGAAGUUGAACGAAAAAUUGAACGAUCACCACCCAAAUCAGACUAGGUGAUCCAACAAGGAAUUGACAGAUAAUCCACUGAUAUAUAAUUGGGAUAGCACAUUAUGAUAGUCAAUCAAUCAAUAACGUAUGCUGUAAUCCAUAAUUAGUUAGAGUCGGUUAUGUUAAUCCUAAGUACCCAUUGCGCUCGAUAAAAACUCUACUAGAUGAUUUGACUUUUAAAGUAAAUCAGUAGUUCUUUAAACUAAAAAGGGUUUCUAAGUCUCACACUUAUUUCUGCAAUGGCAUAUAAGCCUAACGAUAAUAAGAAGACUCCCAGAAAUUAUCAGACCUAAUGUAAGUGCAAUAAUCAAUAAUAACUAAGUCCUAAUCUAGCUAAUUGAUAAAACCUAUAUGGACAUCUUCUUUCAUUUUGUUCUAUUCAGCUAAAUCCAUAUCGAUUUCAAAGUAUGUCUUUUCUGACAACUUCUCUCUAUGUGAUUUUACGUCUACUUCUUUCUCUUCACCUUCAGUUAUUAUGGUGACGUACCUAUAAACUGGUGCAUAUGCAAAUCUUGCAGAAUACGGUCAAACAAUCUAGGUUUAUUCUCAUUUAUAAGCUAUUUGUGUUACUUGUAUCCUUGUUGAAGAUCUCAUAUAUCCUUUGCAUUUUGUGAUUUUUUUUGUAGAUAUGUUGGGUUUCAGAGUCCCAAUAUUACAUCUAAUAUUACUAUCUUCACAAGCAUUCUAUAGACAUUUUCUUUCCCUUAGUUAUCUUCCAUUCAAAUUACACUUCCCAUAAAACUAUCUCAUUUCAUCCAUCCUAUUUUAGCUCGAUGUGUUACAUCUUCAUCUAUCAUGCCGUUCUCACGGGAAGAUUAAGCUUAGAUUUUUUAACUGUCUUCAUUUAUACACCACAAUUCUUUCUAAUCUCACCUCACUGUCGUUCUUCUUAUACUGCUAAAAUUGCGCAUAUUUCCUCUUGGUUUAUUUUCUAAGGACUUCUAAAUAGUGCCAACUUCUGAAUGACUCUCUUGUUAUAUUUCGUCAAUUAAUACCAUAUCAUAUGCGCGAUCAGUACUUCUUUUAUUUUUUUCCUUUGAUAUCUUGGUUUUAGUUUUCUAAAUGUCUUAUCUUGUUAUUACUUGCUUUGUGCUUCUUCCACCUUUUCUUUAGCUGAGGGUCUAUUGGAAACAACCUCCCUUCCCUUCCAGGGUAGGGAUAAGAAGAGAGUCUAUUGGAAACAGCCUCUCUUCCCUUCCAGGGUAGGGAUAAGGCCGCAUACAUCCUACCCUCCCCAGACUCCACUCGUAGGAAUACGCUGGGUUGUUGUUGUUGUUGUUGUAAUACCAUAUCAUAUGCAAAUAGCAUGUAUCGCGGAACACCAUCCUGUAUACUAUUGGUACUACCCCAUCCAUGAGUAAACAAGUACUAUGCAAUUCGGAACCAUAAUAUGAGGAUCCAUAAGUAGAGUUAACCAGCUCGUAGUUAGGACUUAGGAACCACAAUAUGAGGGAAGUGAAUGUAGUGCAUCACAUACAAGAUAAAAGACAAGCUAUUGAUAAUAGGAACCACCCCAAACAAAGCACCAGUAGAAAGCUCAACUUACAACCAACUAAAAAGAAUCAUCCAAAAUCACUACCAUUGUGAAAAUAACCAUCAAAUGAAACACUUCCAAUACCAUAAGACCCAAAAAAAGGAAGAAGAAUAAA